AUUAUUUUGGCAGAAGUAUAUGUAAUAAAUUUAGAAUUUAUAGAUGUAAGGAUUUUACAAAUAAUA
This 66-nucleotide transfer RNA is filed under the name Mycomya sp. WQY006. Its description in RNAcentral is "tRNA-Leu". Lineage: Eukaryota; Metazoa; Arthropoda; Insecta; Diptera; Mycetophilidae. The record is from RNAcentral.